CCUACGGGGGGCAACAGUGGGGAAUAUUGGACAAUGGGGGGAACCCUGAUCCAGCCAUGCCGCGUGUGUGAAGAAGGCCCUCGGGUUGUAAAGCACUUUCAGUGAGGAAGAACGCCUGGUGGUUAAUACCCAUCAGGAAAGACAUCACUCACAGAAGAAGCACCGGCUAACUCCGUGCCAGCAGCCGCGGUAAUACGGAGGGUGCGAGCGUUAAUCGGAAUUACUGGGCGUAAAGCGCGCGUAGGUGGCUUGAUAAGCCGGUUGUGAAAGCCCCGGGCUCAACCUGGGAACGGCAUCCGGAACUGUCAAGCUAGAGUGCAGGAGAGGAAGGUAGAAUUCCCGGUGUAGCGGUGAAAUGCGUAGAGAUCGGGAGGAAUACCAGUGGCGAAGGCGGCCUUCUGGACUGACACUGACACUGAGGUGCGAAAGCGUGGGUAGCAAACAGGAUUAGAUACCCUAGUAGUC
Molecule: ribosomal RNA, 465 nt
Filed under: Vreelandella stevensii
Lineage: Bacteria; Pseudomonadati; Pseudomonadota; Gammaproteobacteria; Oceanospirillales; Halomonadaceae
Description: partial 16S ribosomal RNA
Rfam family: Bacterial small subunit ribosomal RNA
Source: RNAcentral